Molecule: long non-coding RNA, 448 nt
Filed under: Apteryx rowi (Okarito brown kiwi)
Lineage: Eukaryota; Metazoa; Chordata; Aves; Apterygiformes; Apterygidae
Description: lncRNA (ENSARWG00000005874.1)
Source: RNAcentral
AGCAAAACAAAUGAAAGGUGGUUUCCUCUUGCUGGAGGGGAUUCUCUGAAGGCUAACCCUGCGUCCCACUAAUAGAGUCCCUCCUGCCGGUCUGCUCCUUCUGUUUCAGUGAAAUCCAUAAGCUGUUCCUUCGAGUGGUGCCACACCGAAUCUGUCCCUCCAGUUGGAGUGCUCACAGCUAGAGCGAUCAUUUGAAGAGCUCAGCAGGGAAACUCACAUAUCACCUGCUUGUUUGAAGGCUGAUUCCAACCACCGCUAUCAGCUUGCGCUUUCAGCAACACUAAAGGCUCUCUACAGUGUUGCCAGGCUUCAUGGAGGUCUCCUGAGCAAUAACAGCAAUCGAGGGUGGCACGUGUGUAAAGAAAAUGCUUACUCUUACUGUGAGAAUGGGUGGUAAAGUGGCUGCACUGAGUGCCGUGUGCCACUAACGACUCUUUGCUAAAGUGAG